Molecule: ribosomal RNA, 478 nt
Filed under: uncultured bacterium
Lineage: Bacteria
Description: partial 16S ribosomal RNA
Rfam family: Bacterial small subunit ribosomal RNA
Source: RNAcentral
CACGAACGCUGGCGGCGUGCUUAACACAUGCAAGUCGAACGGUAAGGCCCUUCGGGGUACACGAGUGGCGAACGGGUGAGUAACACGUGGGUGAUCUGCCCUGCACUUCGGGAUAAGCCUGGGAAACUGGGUCUAAUACCGGAUAGGACCACUGCCUGCAUGGGUGGUGGUGGAAAGCUUUUGCGGUGUGGGAUGGGCCCGCGGCCUAUCAGCUUGUUGGUGGGGUGAUGGCCUACCAAGGCGACGACGGGUAGCCGGCCUGAGAGGGUGACCGGCCACACUGGGACUGAGGUACGGCCCAGACUCCUACGGGAGGCAGCAGUGGGGAAUAUUGCACAAUGGGCGCAAGCCUGAUGCAGCGACGCCGCGUGAGGGAUGACGGCCUUCGGGUUGUAAACCUCUUUCAGCACCGACGAAGCGCAAGUGGCGGUAGGUGCAGAAGAAGGACCGGCCAACUACGUGCCAGCCGCCGCCGUAA